Molecule: long non-coding RNA, 1485 nt
Filed under: Solanum tuberosum (potato)
Lineage: Eukaryota; Viridiplantae; Streptophyta; Magnoliopsida; Solanales; Solanaceae
Description: long non-coding RNA (STUB_LNC008758)
Source: RNAcentral
GGGAGAUGAGUUAGGUAGAGUAGAAUGGAAGGGAAUGACUGGGAAUAUUAGCCUUUGUCCAGAAGCAUGUGUCCAGUUUAUGCAACUACAAUAAUUCCUUUCUUUUCAUUAUCUCUGUUUAACAACAUGGUGAAAAACAACAAGCAUAAGAGCAAAAAUAUCAAUUUGGCCCAUUCAUGGAAAAAUAUGUACACCUUUUGGCCCUACAAACAAAGUUAUAAUAAUUUAGUUAGGUGCAAGUUAUUCCCCACUGUAGCCUGCACUUAUCAAGGGCUCUUGUCACUUACCCUUUUCAUCUCUCACAGCUGCUUUUUGGGCUUUGUGCACCUUCUUGUGAAAAAGAAUGGUAAAUACAACUUGUGAAACAUUCCCUGCAUAAAAAACUGAAAUCUUUAUACUAGUUAGGUUGCACGUAGACAGAGCUUAGGAUCACGAAUUGUCUGAUGCAUCAGUCACUUGGAUGAAUAAUUAUAAUUGUUGGGAUGGGCGUGGCGGUGCAGCAACUGCAAUGAAGAAUUUCCAAAUGUGAGAUUCUGAAGGAUAAUCAACUUUCAGAUAUUCGAGUAGUAUAAACAAAGGUCAAGCAACUUGGUAAUUUAAACAAUAUAAGAGAAGUCAAAUCAAAUAAAUAAGCACUUUGAUUGUAUCUUGAACAUGUAAAAACGCCAUAUGAGGGAAGAAACAUAGAUGGUAACUACCUCCCCCACUUCCCAACGGAGAAAAUGAAAGAAUAUUCAACUUGCAUUAUAACAAAUUUUCCAUUAACUAACAUUACUUGUGAUCAUACUAAAAGAAUAGUCUCACAGAAAGGUAGUAGAUGAAGCUCCUGCUUCAAAAAUGUUCCCCAUUAACCUAACAGUUGUAAGAUCACAUAUUUCUAGGGAAACAUAGAAAAAUCAUCACAGAAAUUGGAGUUCAUGCUAGUUUACACUGGUUUUUGUAUAUUAUACUUCCGUUAAAAAAAGAAAUCAGGGGACACACAUGUACACGCUGAAAGUAUCAAAGCCCAUCAGAAAAGGUUUACUACUCAAUGUGUAUACUGUAUAGUACAUUAUUGAUACCAGCAUACCAGAAUAUCUAGUGCUAGACCUCCAAAAGGCCUUCCAGAAGCUGGUGAUCCUCUCUCCAAAGUAUUUCAUCAACUGUUUUCCCAGGGGAGCAUAAAUGUGUUUACAUCAAAAUACCCUCUGGUUUCGAUUUGUGCUUUUGAACAUGUCUCUUCGUUUACUAGUUACACGCUUACACCAUAUUUGAAUUCUUUCUUGAGCACUUCUACCGCUUGAAAUGUUGCGUCUUGAGUUCCCACAGAAUGACUUCAGGCUAUCACUACAGGAAGAGUAUUAAUGCUUGCUAAAUGACUGUCUACUUCAUCACGAUAAGACAAGGCAUUCUUCUGAAUAAUGACACAGCAGAGUUGAUGGCAACCCUAUAAUCUUGCUUGCAUGAAGCCCAGAAAACUACUUAACGGCAACCUCUUGCUCAUCG